CAGUCGCCGCGGGAAAACCGAGGAUGCAAGCGUUAUCCGGAAUGAUUGGGCGUAAAGCGUGCGCAGGCGGUUUUGUAAGUCUGUCGUGAAAUCCCCGGGCUCAACCUGGGAAUGGCGAUGGAGACUGCAAGGCUAGAAUCUGGCAGAGGGGGGUAGAAUUCCACGUGUAGCAGUGAAAUGCGUAGAUAUGUGGAGGAACACCGAUGGCGAAGGCAGCCCCCUGGGCUAAGAUUGACGCUCAUGCACGAAAGCGUGGGGAGCAAACAGGAUUAGAUACCCGGGUAGUCCCUGUCUCUUAUAC
This 301-nucleotide ribosomal RNA is filed under the name uncultured bacterium. RNAcentral's name for it is "partial 16S ribosomal RNA". It matches the Rfam family "Bacterial small subunit ribosomal RNA", at positions 509 to 807 of the family's 1533-position model. The record is from RNAcentral.